This 497-nucleotide ribosomal RNA is filed under the name uncultured bacterium. Its description in RNAcentral is "partial 16S ribosomal RNA". It matches the Rfam family "Bacterial small subunit ribosomal RNA", at positions 28 to 507 of the family's 1533-position model. The record is from RNAcentral.
GAUGAACGCUGGCGGCGUGCCUAAUACAUGCAAGUCGAGCGAACAGACGAGGCGCUUGCUCCUCUCACGUUAGCGGCGGACGGGUGAGUAACACGUGGAUCACCUCCCUAUAUGUCUGGUAUAUCUUCGGGACACCGGCUCUAAUACCGUAUAAUCUCUUGAUCCGCAUGGUUCAAUAGUGAAAGACGGUUUUGCUGUCACUUCUCGCUGGAUCCGCGCCGCAUUAGCUAGUUGUUAAGGUAACGGCUUAUCAAGGCGACGAUGCGUAGCCGACCUGGUAGGGGGAUAGGCGACAUGGGAACUGAGAAAGGGUCAAGGCUCCUAAGGGAGGCAGCAGUAGGGAAUCGGCGGCAGUGGGCGAGAGCAUGACAGAGAAGGGCCACGUGAGUGAUAGAGAUCUUGGGAGCGGAAAACUCGGUUAUGAGGUGAAAACAAAUGUGUAAGGAAAUAUACACGGCUUGACGGUAACUAAUCAAGAAGCCACGGCUAACUACGUG